GGGGUUGUGACUCAAGUGGUAGAGCAUUCACCUAGGACGUGUGAGGCACUGGGUUCAAUCCUCAGCACCACA
Molecule: transfer RNA, 72 nt
Filed under: Marmota monax (woodchuck)
Lineage: Eukaryota; Metazoa; Chordata; Mammalia; Rodentia; Sciuridae
Description: tRNA.Pro
Source: RNAcentral